AGAAUGAACGUUGGCGGCGUGGAUUAGGCAUGCGAGUCGUACGAGAACCCGCAAGGGGGAAAGUGGCGAACGGGGUAGUAAUGCGUAGGUGACGUGCCCUGCGGUCGGGGAUAGCUUAGGGAAACUUAAGGUAAUACCCGAUAAUCCCAUCAGGUUUGAAUACUAGAUGGGCAAAGGUGUGAUUCCACCACAGGAGCGGCUUGCGUGGUAUUAGCUAGUUGGUGAGGUAACGGCUCACCGAAGGUCUUCGAUGCCGUAGGGGAUGUUAGCGCAUCGACUCCCCCACACGUGGGACUGAGAUACUCGCCCAGACCACCGUACGGGUGCUGCAGUCGAGAAUCGUCGA
This 346-nucleotide ribosomal RNA is filed under the name uncultured soil bacterium. Its description in RNAcentral is "bacterial SSU rRNA". It matches the Rfam family "Bacterial small subunit ribosomal RNA", at positions 26 to 368 of the family's 1533-position model. The record is from RNAcentral.